Molecule: non-coding RNA, 98 nt
Organism: Acanthosepion pharaonis
Lineage: Eukaryota; Metazoa; Mollusca; Cephalopoda; Sepiida; Sepiidae
Source: the annotation of a GenBank genome assembly
CUUAAAACACCGGGUUCCGUACGAUCACCGAAGUUAAGCAACGUCGAGUCUGAUCAGUACCAAGAUUGUGACCGUUUGACAAUACCAAGUACUGUAAG